AACUCUAGUGGCGGACGGGUGAGUAACACGUGAGAAUUUACCUUUAGGAGGGGGAUAACAAUUGGAAACGAUUGCUAAUACCCCAUAUGCUUUUGAGUGAAAUGGAUUUAUAUUUAUCCGCCUAGAGAGAAGCUCGCGGCUGAUUAGCUUGUUGGUAAGGUAAGAGCUUACCAAGGCGACGAUCAGUAUCUGGUUUGAGAGGACGAUCAGACACACUGGAACUGAGACACGGUCCAG
Molecule: ribosomal RNA, 237 nt
Filed under: uncultured bacterium
Lineage: Bacteria
Description: partial 16S ribosomal RNA
Rfam family: Bacterial small subunit ribosomal RNA
Source: RNAcentral